Cricetulus griseus (Chinese hamster) is the source of this 158-nucleotide small nuclear RNA. Its record names the gene U1. It matches the Rfam family "U1 spliceosomal RNA". From Rfam's summary of the family: U1 is a small nuclear RNA (snRNA) component of the spliceosome (involved in pre-mRNA splicing). Its 5' end forms complementary base pairs with the 5' splice junction, thus defining the 5' donor site of an intron. The record is from Ensembl. NCBI's taxonomy places the organism in Eukaryota, Metazoa, Chordata, Mammalia, Rodentia, Cricetidae.
ACACUUACCUGGCAGGGGAGAUACUAUGAUUUUGAAGUUGGUUUUCCCUGGGCAAGGUUAAUCCAUUGCACUCUGGAUGUACUGAUCCCUUCAAUUUCCAUAAAUUCAGGAAACUUGACAGAAUAAUUUAUGAUGGGUUGUGUUCACACUUUCCUCAU